GUUGCUGAGGGGGGAUGAGAGAUGGAGACAGAAAGAAAGAGAGAGAGAAAGGGUGAAGUAGGACGAAGCAACAACUGUCUCAUCACUUGCUGAAGGAGAGGGAACAAUACUACAGUAUUGUCUCAGGGCAGAGUUGUCAGUGACUGUCAUCCUCCUACUUCCUUUCUCUCUCUUUCCAUCCUUCGCUCUCCCCCCUCCGCCCAACCCACACCCUUCUUGUCUUCUCCCUCCCAUUUCAUCACCACAGAGGGAAAAACGAUGGAGCAUUUCGUCUGCCGAAGGUGAAAAGAACUCGUCGAGUGACAAGUCAACCCCAGAGAUCCAGAGCUCCUGGGACGGCUUCAAGACCAUGACCCCCGAGCUGUCCAUCGUGCCUGGGGAGCAGAAGGACCGCAUGGAGCUGCACAAUAAGAACUGGGACUCGUCCUCUGCUAACACACCCGACUCGUCCGAGGGAGACUUCCAGACUGAAGUGUGAAGACAAAUAGAUGUACACACUCACUUGAAUACACACUCUCAUCCUGAGCUGCGGUACAGAUGCACACCGAGAUACUGAACCUCUGAAAAGCUAUACAUAAGUACAGGAUUUUUGACAAAGACCUCACACACAGUGCUCCCCGUCUCCUGCAGUGUGCUCUGUCGGAUCCCAAACUGUGUUUGUUUACUUCUGCAGUGGACAGACAUGGAAAGAAGACUGUUCUACUCUACAGUAUAUUUUCGCAAAGACCAUUGAAAAGAAAGAACAGGAGCUUGGCAACGUCUGGGAUGGAGGAAGAUUUUUAAAUGAACUAUAAAAAAAAAAAAAAGUAUAUGAAAAAGUUAUUUCUGAGAAAAAUGUCUUGAUUUUAUUCUGGAGAAAAAAAAGAAAAUCUCUGUCAAUUGUUUGAGGAUUUUCUAAAAAAAAGAAAAAUAAUAUUUCUGCACUGUUCAGUUCAUUUAUAGCGAGAGGAAGAAAAUCUCACUGAGGUUCUCACAUUGGUAGCCCCCCCAGGCACCCUGCUUUCAUUCCUUUCCCUUUCCUUUCUAAUUGGUGAAGACACCAUUCAAUCUCUUAGACUUUCCUUUUUUUUCUUUUCAUCAUUACAGAUGGAUAGGGGAUGGGGGACAGGGAAAGAGCUGCUCAUUGAUUUGCCAUCCUCUGCUUUUUUCAGGUUCCAGUUCAACAAUCCCAUCCAUCUAUUCCUCUCAUCUUCGUAAAGAUUGUAUCCCCCCUUAUUUUGUGUAUUUUCUAAACAUGUCCUCCCCUAUGGUUUGGAAAUUUGAAUAAGAAAAGAUAUUACGAUUAAAACAAAUAACUACUGGGUUGUGUUCUAUGUUCUGAAGACAGUCCGACUGUUCAGGAAGAAUAUAUUUAUUUUCAGACUGGUUGGGGUUUUUAUCUGGAUCUUUUUUCUUUUUUUUUCCUGUGAGAAUUUACCCAUGUGGAACUUAUAAAAAAAAGGACUUAGGACACACACAGCACAUGAAUGUGAGCUUGCUUUCUGGGGUAAUGUGAGCCGCAUGUCAUCCAACCAUAAGGGAAAAGAAGGAUAGUGAUCGUCAUGCAGAUUCUCCCAUCUCCUUCUUUUUCCCCCCACAGCUUGGAGAUAAAGGCAUUUAAAGACUCCAUCAUCUGAAUCAAUUUCAGCCAUCACCAAU
This 1638-nucleotide long non-coding RNA is filed under the name Scophthalmus maximus (turbot). RNAcentral describes it as "lncRNA (ENSSMAG00000036251.1)". The record is from RNAcentral. Lineage: Eukaryota; Metazoa; Chordata; Actinopteri; Pleuronectiformes; Scophthalmidae.